UGUUUUCUACUCAUAAUUCUAACAUGAUUGUUUUUUUCUUUUAAUCUGCUAAUGUUUCCUUAGGCUGUGACACUGACACAAGAUACUUGGAUAUGCAUCAACAAGGGAGUCUCUAUUAGAAUAUCUGUUACAUUCUCGGUAUUAUUCCUCACAGUUUUGGUAUUCAUGAUUAGUAAAAGUAAUUUAUUCUUGGGUAAUAAGUUGGAGCUACAAUGUGUGAUUCCACUGAGGGGCUCUAAUGUUCAAAUUUUGAAAAAUGCAGAUGUGAAUCAUGUCUGAGCAGAAGACAAUGUCGACAUUAUUGAUGACCAACUUUAAGUCAAGGAUUAAGAUC
RNAcentral lists this long non-coding RNA (334 nucleotides) under Cervus hanglu yarkandensis (Yarkand deer). Its description in RNAcentral is "lncRNA (ENSCHYG00000013869.1)". The record is from RNAcentral. Lineage: Eukaryota; Metazoa; Chordata; Mammalia; Artiodactyla; Cervidae.